GUGACCAUAGUUACAGAGAGAGGCAGCUAGAUGCUACAGAAGGCUAACAGGUUUAUACCAGAGAUAGAGUAGUGACCAUAGUUACAGAGAGAGGCAGCUAGAUGCUACAGAAGGCUAACAGGUUUAUACCAGAGAUAGAGUAGUUGACCAUAGUUACAGAGAGAGGCAGCUGGAUGCUACAGAAGGCUAACAGGUUUAUACCAGAGAUAGAGUAGUGACCAUAGUUACAGAGAGAGGCAGCUGGAUGCUACAGAAGGCUAACAGGUUUAUACCAGAGAUAGAGUAGUGACCAUAGUUACAGAGAGAGGCAGCUAGAUGCUUACAGAAGGCUAACAGGUUUAUACCAGAGAUAGAGUAUUGACCAUAGUUACAGAGAGAGGCAGCUGAAUGCUACAGAAGGCCAACAGGUUUAUACCAGAGACAUCACAAUAAGACCUCAAACCUCCUGUUGUUACAGUCAGGACCUGUUCCCCACCGGAACAGAGAAUUCACUAUAAAUAAAUGUUUCUUUUUUCUGUA
This is a long non-coding RNA of Oncorhynchus nerka (sockeye salmon), 519 nucleotides long. RefSeq lists it as uncharacterized. NCBI's taxonomy places the organism in Eukaryota, Metazoa, Chordata, Actinopteri, Salmoniformes, Salmonidae. The record is from RefSeq and is a predicted model, not a curated record. The transcript has 2 exons.